Molecule: ribosomal RNA, 660 nt
Filed under: uncultured archaeon
Lineage: Archaea
Description: bacterial SSU rRNA
Rfam family: Archaeal small subunit ribosomal RNA
Source: RNAcentral
CACACAGCUCAGUAACACGUGGCUAACCUGCCCUUGGGACCAGAACACCCCCGGGAAACUGGGGCUAAUUCUCGAUAGGUGAAGAACUCUGGAAUGAGUCUUCGCUUAAAAGAGGCUGGGGUUAUGCUCUCCAGUUUCGCCUAAGGAUGGGGCCGCGACCGAUCAGGUUGUUGGUGAGGUAAUGGCUCACCAAGCCUUUUACCGGUGCGGGCCGUGGGAGCGGGAGCCCGGAGAUGGGCACUGAGACAAGGGCCCAGGCCCUACGGGGCGCAGCAGUCGCGAAAACUUUGCAAUAAGCGAAAGCUUGACAGGGCUAUCCCGAGUGCCAUCCGCUGAGGAAGGCUUUUACCCAGUCUAGAACGCUGGGGGAAUAAGGAGAGGGCAAGUCUGGUGUCAGCCGCCGCGGUAAUACCAGCUCUCCGAGUGGUGUGGAUGUUUAUUGGGCCUAAAGCAUCCGUAGCUGGCUAGGUUAGUCCCCUGUUAAAUCCACCGAAUUAAUCGUUGGAUUGCGGGGGAUACUACUUGGCUAGGGGACGAGAGAGGCAGACGGUAUUUCCGGGGUAGGGGUGAAAUCCUAUAAUCCCGGGAAGACCACCAGUGGCAAAGGCUGUCUGCUAGAACGCGCCCGACGUUGAGGGAUGAAAGCUGGGGGAACGAACC